AACGAACGCUGGCGGCAUGCCUAACACAUGCAAGUCGAACGAUCCCUUCGGGGAUAGUGGCGCACGGGUGCGUAACGCGUGGGAACCUGCCCUUAGGUUCGGAAUAACUCAGAGAAAUUUGAGCUAAUACCGGAUAAUGUCUUCGGACCAAAGAUUUAUCGCCUUUGGAUGGGCCCGCGUUGGAUUAGCUAGUUGGUGGGGUAAAGGCCUACCAAGGCGACGAUCCAUAGCUGGUCUGAGAGGAUGAUCAGCCACACUGGGACUGAGACACGGCCCAGACUCCUACGGGAGGCAGCAGUGGGGAAUAUUGGACAAUGGGCGAAAGCCUGAUCCAGCAAUGCCGCGUGAGUGAUGAAGGCCUUAGGGUUGUAAAGCUCCUUUACCCGGGAUGAUAAUGACAGUACCGGGAGAAUAAGCCCCGGCUAACUCCGUG
Molecule: ribosomal RNA, 433 nt
Filed under: uncultured bacterium
Lineage: Bacteria
Description: partial 16S ribosomal RNA
Rfam family: Bacterial small subunit ribosomal RNA
Source: RNAcentral